This 244-nucleotide ribosomal RNA is filed under the name uncultured Staphylococcus sp. RNAcentral's name for it is "partial 16S ribosomal RNA". It matches the Rfam family "Bacterial small subunit ribosomal RNA", at positions 96 to 334 of the family's 1533-position model. Lineage: Bacteria; Bacillati; Bacillota; Bacilli; Caryophanales; Staphylococcaceae. The record is from RNAcentral.
CGGCGGACAGGUGAGUAACACGUGGAUAACCUACCUAUAAGACUGGGAUAACUUCGGGAAACCGGAGCUAAUACCGGAUAAUAUUUUGAACCGCAUGGUUCAAAAGUAAAAGACGGUCUUGCUGUCACUUAUAGAUGGAUCCGCGCUGCAUUAGCUAGUUGGUAAGGUAACGGCUUACCAAGGCAACGAUGCAUAGCCGACCUGAGAGGGUGAUCGGCCACACUGGAACUGAGACACGGUCCAG